UCUUGACUUUGGUUCUUUGUAGAUUGCACUAACUGCUUGCAGAAGCGAAAGCCAGUUAAUAUGACAACGACUGAGAAGUUCUUUGCCAUCAUGAUUAUACCCAAGUAUGGCUACACUGAUGGAAGUAGUGUGGAAGGACUGGCGUCAGAAAGCACCAUCAAUGUGAAAAUAACGUGAAGACAGAAAGCCAAGCAGCCAGACAGGCAACCACAACAAAAAUGGCUCCAACAGGAAGCUAAAAGGAAAUAAUGAGUAGAAAGUGUGACACUGGCUAAUCCUUAUGGUAUAGAAGCACCCUGAGAGAAACCAUAAUCUGCUAGCAGGUAUCUGUGAAGACAAGUAACAGCUGAAUAAUUUUUCCUUUGGCUAAGAUGCAAAUAAGUUUAUUUCUGUGCAGAAUACUAAGUUCCUCUUCACUCAAGCAAAACUCGGUGGUGGUUUCUGUCUGUCUGUCUAUCAUUUGUGGAUGUGGUUUCGGAAGUCAUCAUUUGCAGUAAUGAUGACUUGCUCCAACCACAAACAACUUUUCAAGGAAGAAAGAAAGAAAAGCGAUGAACAGGAAAAUCUUUAAAUUACAACUGCUUUCUGCAGAAGAAUUUUACUUAGAAAAAAAAAUAUUCAGAUGUGG
This 628-nucleotide long non-coding RNA is filed under the name Meleagris gallopavo (turkey). RNAcentral's name for it is "lncRNA (ENSMGAG00000021890.1)". The record is from RNAcentral. Lineage: Eukaryota; Metazoa; Chordata; Aves; Galliformes; Phasianidae.